CCGCUCCCGCGCGCCUCCCCGAUCUGCGCGCUCACCACCACUUCCCGCGGCCCGCCUCCCACAGCGGGGAGCAGCAGCGGCGGCACAGGGGGGCACGGAGGCGGGUGGACCAGCGGCAGGCGCGGCGUGCGGCCAGCGGGCGGGCAGAUGGCGGCGGUCGCGGCGGCUGGCUCCCGUACCGCCCCGACGAGGACGUCCCCCUCCACGAGCUGCGCAGCGGCGCGGCGAGGGACAGCCGCGUGCGGCGCGAGGCAGGUCCAGGCGGCUUAGCGGGCGGGGGCAGCGAGCGGCGCGCGGCACACGGGCGCAAGGAGCAGGGCAGCACGCGGAUGGUCUAGGCGCGGCGCCGUCCAGGCGUCCAGCUGCUCCCGCGCCGUGACGGCGAGCUGCAGACGUCCGCGCCUGGUGCCGAUCCCCGUCCUCCUGCCGUCCUGAUUAACUGUCACACGGUGACUGCGGCCGCCUCCAUCUGCGGUGGCAGGUGUGCCGAGGCACAUUGGAGCAUGAGGGAGGGUGUUGUCGUGAGACGUCAUCUCGCCAAGUACUCCGGGUUGCCACCACCGCCAUGGCCGCGGCAGCCGAAGACGACGGCCGCGUGAACUAGGCUGGUUCAUGGUGAGGAUAUUGUGCGAGUAUAUCUUCUGUCCUUGUCUGUAUUAGGUGGACAAUAGAGUAGCAUAUUUGGUUACAGCAGUUCUGGGAUCUGGAGAUGUUUGAUUGCCGGAAAUCGCACGCACAGGAGUGCUGUAGCCUGGAGGAGUUUCUUGCUUACUUCCGGGAGAUGGUCGGUGGAACAUGCUGGCAUAUAUAGCUGGAUGAUUAAAUUUAGAGUAGAGGGAUAGAGUGGGUUUCGUACACCAAAUAUCAGUUGGCCAAUCAUACUUUGUGUUCAGUGGCUGUUCAAUUUGAACAGAGCAAGGAUUCAGGUUGCAGGAUCACCGUCAUCAUCCUUUUGCUAGAGUUAUAACCACUCGAUCAACUAGCAAAUUAUUAGGCUGAUUUUGAUGAAUUUAUUGGUUAUUAGUUCAACUUAAUUUUUGUGACAUAUUAUUACCGCAAUCACUGUGGUUGUGAUCUGCCUUCUAGCCUGCUACUGUUUGUGUGUGGUUCUUAUAGUCAAACUAGGUGUUAUGGUAAGCUAGUUCCCCGUAAUGUUUUAUUUCUAUCUGCAGCUAGUACCAUUGAAUACUUAAUCAUAUGGCUUAUCUCGUACUUUUAUUAAGAACUCCUUAUUUCUGAACAUUAGAUGUGUUAUCAGCCUACUGAAUCUUUGCCUACAAAAUAUUCUUUGAUCUGAACUGUGGUCAUCUGCUGAUGUGGUGCAUGCAGAUCAGUGACUGGAGAGGACAAUUCAUUUCCAUGAUUGCUUUGGUAAUUUACCAUCUGAUCAUCUGAAUGUCAGGACCAUGAGGUUCAGUUCAAUAUAAGAGCGUGCAUUUCUUUUGUCAGAAAAUUUACUGAUCUAUCAUAAUCCACCCAUUUUUUUGUAAUAGGAUUUAAAUUAAAAUGGUUUUAUUUGAUCAACUAAUAAUACACUGAGUACUACUGCAUAUGCGCACGUUUAAAUUUUUGUAUAAAUUCUAUUGUCAUUUGUUGAUUUGGGUAUUCUGGUUGAUAUAUAUACACCCCAACAAUUUAUUCCCAGGUCGAUAUAUAUACACCCCAACAACCGAGAUCAGUUCUUUUAGUCAAGGGUAUGCAGUACUAACUGUAGCCUAUUAUUUUGUUUGCUGUGGCAAAAUUACCUACCAGAAAGUGUGCCAGAUUCCUGGUGUUCUUGCUUGGAACUCUACACGGUCAACUCAGAAUUUUGGGUUCCCCGUAUCAUUUGAUUAGAAUUUGGUUGCUAUCUUGACAACAUCUUAACCUUUAUAUGCAGAGCUACUGAUGUGAUAUUAAAGCCAAUACGCUAGCACAUUUUUUUCUUUUUAUUGUGCUAUAAUUAUGUGUAUACUACUCUAUGUACGACCUUGUGCAUUCUCACAGUUGAAUGCUGAUGCCAGAAAAAAAUUUGAAUUUUUUGCUUCAGGUUUUAUAUGUGCACCUUCGAAAUUUUGAGUGCUACUGUUUCUUCCCUGACCAGGUUCAUGCAAGUGUCAGUCACUUCUUGCCAUCUUCUUGAUCUUGCAUGUCUAUGAACUUGGGUUCAUAGAAGCUAUUGUCAAAGAGUUUUGUUGUUUAAUAUUGCUCCUUCUUGUUCUCAUUUACUUGCACAUGUCCUGCUGUAUUUCAGUUGGGAGUAUUUCUAAGGGCCCGUUCGGUUAGCCUGUUCCGGGAGUGAAACAAGGGCUGGAACUAAUCCAGCUGAUUGAAGGUGUGGAAUUAAUCCUACUAUUCCAGCUGGAAUUGUUCCAGGCAUCGGUUCCUAUGUAAACGAAUGGGCCCUAAGGAGGAAAGCAGACCGGCUAACUGAGAACCACGGAUCGGCCGUACUGGAUCAGAGAGCCAAGCUUGUGUUGCUGAACACUGUAUCUGCUGGAGGCACUGCUGUUCAUCAUACAAAUACUCCUUGGAUGUGAUUAUGCUUUGCCUCAUUUAGCGGAGGAAUUCUAUGACCAAAACAACUAGAAAAGUAGGUGUGAAAUUAUGAGUUUUUGUGACCCAUCUUCACAUUUUUCAUUUUUCCCUCAUGGUUCUUGUUGUAAAGAUUAAGUAAUUUAUUCCAAAAGAUUGUGCUUCUGCAUACUGUCACAAAACA
Molecule: long non-coding RNA, 2698 nt
Organism: Panicum virgatum (switchgrass)
Lineage: Eukaryota; Viridiplantae; Streptophyta; Magnoliopsida; Poales; Poaceae
Exons: 2
Source: RefSeq, a predicted model, not a curated record